CCUACGGGGGGUAGCAGUGAGGAAUAUUGGUCAAUGGGCGAGAGCCUGAACCAGCCAAGUCGCGUGAAGGAUGACGGCCCUACGGGUUGUAAACUUCUUUUGUCAGGGAACAAUUGGGUCCACGCGUGGGCUUAGCGAUAGUACCUGAAGAAAAAGCAUCGUCUACCUCCGUGCCAGCAGCCGCGGUAAUACGGAGGAUGCGAGCGUUAUCGGUCUUUAUUGGGUUUAAAGGGUGCGUAGGCGGAAGAUCAAGUCAGCGGUAAAAAUUCGGGGCUAAACCCCGUCGUGCGGUUGAAACUGAUGUUCUUGAGUGGGCGAGAAGUAUGCGGAAUGCGUGGUGUAGCGGUGAAAUGCAUAGAUAUCACGAAGAACUCCGAUUGCGAAGGCAGCAUACCGGCGCCCAACUGACGCUGAAGCACGAAAGCGUGGGUAUCGAACAGGAUUAGAUACCCUGGUAGUC
Molecule: ribosomal RNA, 460 nt
Filed under: uncultured bacterium
Lineage: Bacteria
Description: partial 16S ribosomal RNA
Rfam family: Bacterial small subunit ribosomal RNA
Source: RNAcentral